RNAcentral lists this long non-coding RNA (713 nucleotides) under Gadus morhua (Atlantic cod). Its description in RNAcentral is "lncRNA (ENSGMOG00000034032.1)". The record is from RNAcentral. Lineage: Eukaryota; Metazoa; Chordata; Actinopteri; Gadiformes; Gadidae.
UACUCUCACACUGUUCAUUUAUGCAGAACCUCUUCAGUUUCUGUCUAAAACGCUCUGUUUUGAAUCCCUUCGCUUAAAGGCCCCGCUCCCAAAAAGCCAAGUCUGCUGUGAUUGGUCAGCUGUUGUGAUUGGUCAAUCGUAUUGCGCAGUGCCGAGAAGCUGUUAACAUUUCGGGUAACAGUGGCUUCGUUUCAGCCGUAUCUGUCGGAGACUGAACAGAAUCACACAGUCACACAGGCCAUCGACCCGAAACAACAUUGCAACCAAGAGCUGAGCAGGACGUCUCGGUGGUGUAAACUGUCCCAGAAUGCCCAGCGAAGUGGAAAACGACUGCUGCCAAGAAAUACAAAAGGUUGUAAUACGAAUGGAGCAGCUUCCAGUCCAGCCUAGAUGCCUGGUGAACCAAACAGGCCUAGAGCUUGAAUCCAUCCAUCCAGCCUGCAGAACAUUAACAACUAAGAGUGGACUAUAAACCUUUUUUUUUUACAUCUAAUGAGAUACAGCCUUCUACAAUUAAAUUGAAACAUGUCUCAUUAUACCACAGCACCUGAAUAACUAGAAUGAAAUGAAUGUUAAUCUCAUUAUAAAUGAAUGUUUUCCUCAAUAUAAAUAAAUGUUUUCAAAUGUAAGAACACCGUGUAUCCAUCCCUGUAUAUACACAGUAAACACGGUUUUCAGCAGGAUAAGUAAUCUAUCCUCUCCAAACAGGUGUU